RNAcentral lists this ribosomal RNA (497 nucleotides) under uncultured bacterium. RNAcentral describes it as "partial 16S ribosomal RNA". It matches the Rfam family "Bacterial small subunit ribosomal RNA", at positions 28 to 507 of the family's 1533-position model. The record is from RNAcentral.
GGUGAACGCUGGCGGCGUGCCUAAUACAUGCAAGUCGAGCGAACAGACGAGGAGCUUGCUCCUCUGACGUUAGCGGCGGACGGGUGAGUAACACGUGGAUAACCUACCUAUAAGACUGGGAUAACUUCGGGAAACCGGAGCUAAUACCGGAUAAUAUAUUGAACCGCAUGGUUCAAUAGUGAAAGACGGUUUUGCUGUCACUUAUAGAUGGAUCCGCGCCGCAUUAGUUAGUUGGUAAGGUAACGGCUUACCAAGGCAACGAUGCGUAGCCGACCUGAGAGGGUGAUCGGCCACACUGGAACUGAGACACGGUCCAGACUCCUACGGGAGGCAGCAGUAGGGAAUCUUCCGCAAUGGGCGAAAGCCUGACGGAGCAACGCCGCGUGAGUGAUGAAGGUCUUCGGAUCGUAAAACUCUGUUAUUAGGGAAGAACAAAUGUGUAAGUAACUAUGCACGUCUUGACGGUACCUAAUCAGAAAGCCACGGCUAACUACGUG